GUGUUUGCUUCAGUAGCACAUAUGCUAAAAUUAGAACAAUACAGAGAUUAGCAUAGCCCCUGCUCAAGGAUGACACACAAAUCUGUGAAAUGUUCCAAUUAAAA
Mustela putorius furo (domestic ferret) is the source of this 104-nucleotide small nuclear RNA. NCBI's taxonomy places the organism in Eukaryota, Metazoa, Chordata, Mammalia, Carnivora, Mustelidae. The record is from Ensembl.